GUGCUCGUUUCGGCAGCACAUAUACUAAAAUUGGAACGUUACAGAGAAGAUUAGCAUGGCCCCUGUGCAAGGAUAUCACAACAGAGCCAGAUCUUCCAGAUCUGCUG
Small nuclear RNA from Ochotona princeps (American pika), 107 nucleotides. Lineage: Eukaryota; Metazoa; Chordata; Mammalia; Lagomorpha; Ochotonidae. The record is from Ensembl.